CGGAAAGCCUGAUGCAGCGACGCCGCGUGAGGGAUGACGGCCUUCGGGUUGUAAACCUCUUUCAGUAGGGAAGAAGCGAAAGUGACGGUACCUGCAGAAGAAGCGCCGGCUAACUACGUGCCAGCAGCCGCGGUAAUACGUAGGGCGCAAGCGUUAUCCGGAAUUAUUGGGCGUAAAGAGCUCGUAGGCGGUUUGUCGCGUCUGCCGUGAAAGUCCGGGGCUCAACUCCGGAUCUGCGGUGGGUACGGGCAGACUAGAGUGAUGUAGGGGAGACUGGAAUUCCUGGUGUAGCGGUGAAAUGCGCAGAUAUCAGGAGGAACACCGAUGGCGAAGGCAGGUCUCUGGGCAUUAACUGACGCUGAGGAGCGAAAGCAUGGGGAGCGAACAGGAUUAGAUACCCUGGUAGUCCAUGCCGUAAACGUUGGGCACUAGGUGUGGGGGACAUUCCACGUUUUCCGCGCCGUAGCUAACGCAUUAAGUGCCCCGCCUGGGGAGUACGGCCGCAAGGCUA
This 511-nucleotide ribosomal RNA is filed under the name uncultured Actinomycetes bacterium. RNAcentral's name for it is "bacterial SSU rRNA". It matches the Rfam family "Bacterial small subunit ribosomal RNA", at positions 376 to 896 of the family's 1533-position model. Lineage: Bacteria; Bacillati; Actinomycetota; Actinomycetes. The record is from RNAcentral.